This 596-nucleotide long non-coding RNA is filed under the name Phoenix dactylifera (date palm). RNAcentral's name for it is "long non-coding RNA (PDAC_LNC006599)". The record is from RNAcentral. Lineage: Eukaryota; Viridiplantae; Streptophyta; Magnoliopsida; Arecales; Arecaceae.
AGGGGCAUCAUAGCUAAAAUCUCGAUAUCUUCUUCCACUUUUACAUCCUGACCAGAUAAAAUAUUACUUCUAGAGCACCUAUGCUAGUGUCGGAAGACCAGUCCACUUUUGUGAUACCAGCUUGGAUCAAAACUAUAUCAUUGAUCAAGAGAAUUACACAUCAUUUUGUCCUAGCAUGCUUGCCACAAAUUUAUGGCUUGGGCAUCUCUUCUUUCUCCUUGCUAGGUAUCUAAUGUAGCUAAACUUGCUUGUGGUAAUGAUCAAAUGACAUCUCCCGCAAAUUCUGACCGACAUCUAAAUUCAAUUUAUGGAGAGGUUGGUUUUAACUGAAUAAAAUGAUGAAAGAGUCAAUGAAGGAGUGCUGCCUAAAUUUCAUUUCUAAGCUAUUCAAGUUUUCAUGCAGUCGGACGCGUAGAAAUUAGGCUAAAGACAAUUCAGUAUUUCUACACUACAGACAAUUCAGUAUUCAAGUGGAAAAAAGUUACGGAGGACCGGUCGAGUCCCCUAAGCCAGGUUUCUUCUUAACGCGUCUCAGGUCCGAGACUUCCCGGAUUAUUUUAUAGUUCAAUAUAGCGUAGAUGCUUUGUAAUACCUGG